Molecule: ribosomal RNA, 253 nt
Filed under: uncultured bacterium
Lineage: Bacteria
Description: partial 16S ribosomal RNA
Rfam family: Bacterial small subunit ribosomal RNA
Source: RNAcentral
UACGUAGGGUGCGAGCGUUGCCCGGAUUUAUUGGGCGUAAAGGGCGCGUAGGCGGUCACGCACGUCCGUUGUGAAAGCCCCCGGCUCAACUGGGGAGGGUCAUUCGAUACUGAUCGACUCGAAGGCAGGAGAGGGAAGUGGAAUUCCCGGUGUAGUGGUGAAAUGCGUAGAUAUCGGGAAGAACACCCGUGGCGAAGGCGGCUCUCUGGGACGGUACUGACGCUGAGACGCGAAAGCGUGGGGAGCGAACAGG